This 469-nucleotide ribosomal RNA is filed under the name uncultured soil bacterium. RNAcentral describes it as "bacterial SSU rRNA". It matches the Rfam family "Bacterial small subunit ribosomal RNA", at positions 26 to 505 of the family's 1533-position model. The record is from RNAcentral.
AGAUUGAACGCUGGCGGCAUGCCUUACACACGCAAGUCGAACGGUAGAGUAGCAAUACUCGAGAGUGGCGAACGGGUGAGUAAUAUAUCGGAACGUGCCCAGUCGUGGGGGAUAACGUAGAGAAAUUUACGCUAAUACCGCAUACGAUCUACGGAUGAAAGCGGGGGAUUCGCAAGAACCUCGCGCGAUUGGAGCGGCUGAUAUCAGAUUAGGUUGCUGGUGAGGUAAAAGCUCACCAAGCCGACGAUCUGUAGCUGGUUUGAGAGAACGACCAGCCACACUGGGACUGAGACACGGCCCAGACUCCUACGGAGGCAGCAGUGGGAAUUUUGGACAAUGGGACGAAAGCCUGAUCCAGCAAUGCCGCGUGCAGGAAGAAGGCCUUCGGUGUAAACUGCUUUGUACGGAACGAACGUCCUUCUAAUAAGAGGCUAAUGACGGUACGUAACGAAUAAGCACGACUACUACG